AACAAUAGUGGAGGAACCCGAGCCGCGCGGAACGGCGGUGGUGGCCUGCGGAGCCGGACGGGGCACUAUGAACGAAGAGGAGCAGUUUGUAAACAUUGAUUUGAAUGAUGACAACAUUUGCAGUGUUUGUAAACUGGGAACAGACAAAGAAACACUCUCCUUCUGCCACAUUUGUUUUGAGCUAAAUAUUGAGGGUAAGGACACAGUAUAGUUUUGAUCUUAUGGAAUGAAUUUAACACAGCUGCUUUGUACUGAUUGUAAGGUAAAACUAAAAUAUCUUCAAUGAUUGGAAAUUGUGCUAAGUAUGAAUAGUGUAGAGAUUUGUUAAAGAUAAGGUUUCUGGAAAUGAAGGUGCAGUUAACAGAGUUACGAAUUUAAGAGAAAUCUUUUUUUUUUAAAGACCCCUGCAACAACCCCAUUUUUCCUAAUACAGAAAUAAGUAUGAGUGUUGACUGGGAAACGUGUUUUCUGGUUUGAGAGCUUAUUGAAUUGUCAGAUUUUAACAGACUUGUGUGUUUUUUAUAUUAAGAAGUAACAACAAUUUUUUUAUUCUUUCGAGCCUAUUAUGCAAGUAUUUGAGUGAGAUGAGCCCGAACUCUUUUCUCACCAGUAUGAUCUUAUUAUCUGGAAAAAUACUUUAAAAUUUUUAGAUUAACCUCUUUU
This 663-nucleotide small RNA is filed under the name Pan troglodytes (chimpanzee). RNAcentral's name for it is "retained intron". Lineage: Eukaryota; Metazoa; Chordata; Mammalia; Primates; Hominidae. The record is from RNAcentral.